RNAcentral lists this long non-coding RNA (671 nucleotides) under Setaria viridis. RNAcentral describes it as "long non-coding RNA (SVIR_LNC010641)". The record is from RNAcentral. Lineage: Eukaryota; Viridiplantae; Streptophyta; Magnoliopsida; Poales; Poaceae.
GGGUGGUAGAUGAGCAUUUAAGAUUUCUUCUAAGGGUAUUGUGAGACUCAUAACAAUACCCUAGUUUUUCAGGGCUUCCUCCUCGGUGGAUUCUUGCAGUGCCUCUGAAAAUAGCCACAAGGGAUAACCCUGAGUACGAGGUACUCAGCAAGGCUUACCCGACUAACCAAUAUAAUAGCUUUUCUUGGAACUAUAUGAUAGCUUUUCUCGUGUACUUGGCUGACACAUUUUUGGCAAAAGAGCUUACUAGGAGUGAAACCUUAGCUUUAUCUUUUAUUUUGAUUGAGUUAUUACUUAUCCAUUCUAAAUGAUGAUAAAAGAUUAAUUGCAAACAACAAGGUAUUAAGUCAUACACCAAAUCAUUAGUGGAAAGAUGUAGCAUUCAUGCAUUUAUGCUACGAUUCUCAACAGUGAUCAAGUGCAUUCAUAACCGAGAAUUGCGGCGAUCCGGAUCAAAUUACAUCCUGCAGGAGAGUACCCUGAUCACCAGUUAUAUACGACUGUCCAGGUCGUACGUAAUGACUUUUCGAUUAGCAAAUCCAAUGAUUGGGAAUAAGACUACCCGGACCCAGGGACGCACCCCCACAUGGGACCCCACGUCUGGCCUGAUCACCAUGUGAGUUUCAGGCUACGCCCUUGCCAAUCUCCAGCACGUCAAGCGCAGGUACGAA